This 384-nucleotide ribosomal RNA is filed under the name Triticum aestivum (bread wheat). RNAcentral describes it as "partial small subunit ribosomal RNA". Lineage: Eukaryota; Viridiplantae; Streptophyta; Magnoliopsida; Poales; Poaceae. The record is from RNAcentral.
AUGGCUGGAAUAAUGGUGAGUGCUUCUACUGGUGUGAUGAACUCUUUGUUGGGUAAGCUGACAACCCUCAUGGGAAAGGAGUUUGCAAGGCUGAAGAACCUGCGAAAAGAAGUGAGGUUCAUUAGCAAUGAGCUUGCCUACAUGAAGGAUGCUCUUGAUGGGCUUUCAGAUCUUGAAGAGCUAGAUUCACAAACUAAGAGGUGGAGAGACUCGGUGAGGGAGAUGUCCUAUGACAUUGAGGACAUCAUCGAUGACUUCAUGCAAAGCAUUGGUGAGAAUGGUAAAACUACUGGGCUUGUUAGCAAUACUGUUCGACGCCUCAAAACUUUGAGGGCUCGUCAUUGGAUUGCUGGACAAAUUGAAGAGGUCAAAAACUUGUGCUAG